AGUUGCGGGCCCGUUGAAGAAAGCAUUUUUCUAUUCAAAAUAGUCGAGUCAUUUGUCAAGUUAUUAUGUAAGUGGUCCUUUAGUAUUUUGUCCAUUGUUACGGUUGCAUGGGCCUGUUAAAUAAAGCUUUUUCUAACCAAAAUUGUCAAGUCAUUAUAUAGGUGGUCUUUUGGUAUUUUGUCCAUUGUUACGGUUGCAUGGGCCUGU
Molecule: long non-coding RNA, 207 nt
Organism: Juglans microcarpa x Juglans regia
Lineage: Eukaryota; Viridiplantae; Streptophyta; Magnoliopsida; Fagales; Juglandaceae
Exons: 2
Source: RefSeq, a predicted model, not a curated record